RNAcentral lists this ribosomal RNA (298 nucleotides) under Phakopsora crotonis. Its description in RNAcentral is "partial 28S ribosomal RNA". It matches the Rfam family "Eukaryotic large subunit ribosomal RNA", at positions 1 to 290 of the family's 3401-position model. Lineage: Eukaryota; Fungi; Basidiomycota; Pucciniomycetes; Pucciniales; Phakopsoraceae. The record is from RNAcentral.
AAGACCUCAAAUCAGGUGGGAUUACCCGCUGAACUUAAGCAUAUCAAUAAGCGGAGGAAAAGAAACUAACAAGGAUUCCCCCAGUAACGGCGAGUGAAGAGGGAAAAGCCCAAAUUUGUAAUCAGACUUCUGUAAGGGAGUUUGAGUUGUAAUUUCUAGAGCUGUUUUCUGUGCUGGACCAUACACAAGUUUGUUGGAAAACAACAUCAUUGAGGGUGAUAAUCCCGUUUAUGGUAUGGACUACCAGUGCUGUAUGAUACAGCCUCCAAGAGUCGAGUUGUUUGGGAAUGCAGCUCAU